ACUGUGGAAUAUAGACCCAUAAUUGACAAAACUUUGAACGAGGCUGACUGUGCCACUGUCCCCCCAGCCAUUCACUCCUACUGAUGAGACAAGAUGUGGUGAUGACAGAAUCAGCUUUUGUAAUUAUUGCACAGCCAGAGGACAACACAUCACACACAAGAAACAGUUGUGCUCAUGUGAUGGGGGCCUCAGCACUAGGAAGGAGUGGACUGUUGGCGCACGCAGCAGCUUGAAUAAAUCUGAAAGUCACUACGCUGCGUAAGAGAAGCCAAAUAAAGCGCAUGCUGUGUACAGAGGGUGUCGAGAAUGCCUCCUACGUGACGGAAAGCAGAUCCGUGGUUCCCUGCAGACUGGCAGGAGCAGAUUCCAAAGGCACAGGAAGAAGCUUGCAGUACAAAGAUAAAAAUCUAAAGUGGUUGCUGUGGAGGACAGGGGUCAGUGGUGGAAGUGAGACCGAAAUAGACUCUGAAGUAAUAUCUGGACUUUGAAAUUGCGCCAACCCUGAGACAAAAAUUUGGAAGGUGGCCCUGAGCAGCAGCUGAAGGGAAGUGGGAGGCAGCUGCUCCCAACCCCAGAACCUUUGCUGUCUUGGGACGGAUCACCACUGCAAGAGGGGAAGUUGCUACUGUGAUGAAUUCUGCCAUGUGGCACCAGACUGCCACCCAGACCACAGUGUCCUCUGCAACCCUGCUUCUCAGAUGACCAAGAUGGUGCUGCAGAUGGUGCUGAGGAUGGAGAACCCACCAAGCCC
RNAcentral lists this unclassified non-coding RNA (751 nucleotides) under Homo sapiens (human). Its description in RNAcentral is "MUC20 overlapping transcript (ENSG00000280993.2)". Lineage: Eukaryota; Metazoa; Chordata; Mammalia; Primates; Hominidae. The record is from RNAcentral.